This 1437-nucleotide ribosomal RNA is filed under the name Triticum aestivum (bread wheat). RNAcentral describes it as "partial small subunit ribosomal RNA". The record is from RNAcentral. Lineage: Eukaryota; Viridiplantae; Streptophyta; Magnoliopsida; Poales; Poaceae.
AUGGCGCCAACGGAGGGUGACGAGCAGCCCCCGUUGCGCAUGCUCUUCUUCCCGUUCCUCCUCCCUGGCCACCUCAUCCCGAUGGCCGACAUGGCCGCGCUCUUCGCCGCCCGUGGCAUUAGGUGCACCAUCCUUACCACGCCCUUGCAAGCUUCGACCAUCCGCUCCAUCGUCGACCGUGCCAACACUUCCCUAGGUUCGCAUGAAAAACGUCGCACAGGAGCUAUUGGCCCUCCUUUCCCAGACAUUGGGCUUCCCCCCAGUGCCGAGAGCGGGAUUGGCCUGAUAUCCAAGGACUACAACGACAGGUUCCUUCGGACGGCGGAGCUGCCCCAGGAGCCCUUCCGCCGCUUCCUGUCCAGCCACCACGCCGAGAUCGACGCCGUCGUCUCCGACGGCCUCUUCCACUGGUCCGUGGAUGACGCCGCAGAGCAUGGAAUCCUGCGCAUCACCAACCCGUUCGAGGCGUGCCCCGACGACCCAGCCACCAUCGUCUCUCUGCCGGGGCUGCCGCACCGGGUGGUGGAGCUGCGGGGGCAGAUGAUGGACCCUGUGAAGCGGCCACAUGAGUGGGCAUGGUUCCAGCUCAUCCACGCCACGGAUCGGUGGAGCUACGGCGAGCUCUUCAACAGCUUCCACGAGCUGGAGCCGGCCUACGCUGAGCACUACCGCGCCACACUCCACCGCCGAGCCUGUCUUGUCGGCCCGGUUGCGCUCGCAAGCGGCAGCGGGAAGGACGUGACGUCAAGAGGCGCAGUUGCUGGCGCGCUCUCACCGGAGUCCAUCGGGUGCCUGCGGUGGCUCGACGAGAAGCCGGCCAGCUCAGUGUUGUACGUCUCCUUCGGCACAAUGAAAAUCUUCUCGCCCGAGCAGAUGCGGGAGCUCGCCCGCGGCCUUGACCUCUCGGGCAAAAACUUCGUGUGGGUCAUCGCCAAUGGAAGUGCAUCAACGGAUCUGUGUAUGCCAGUCGGGUUCCCGAUGGCACACCGCGGGUACAUUGUCCGGGGCUGGGCGCCGCAGGUGCUCAUCUUGAACCGCCCCGCCGUUGGUGGUUACAUGACGCACUGUGGGUGGAACUCCACGCUGGAGGCUGUGAGCGCCGGCGUGCCGAUGGUGACGUGGCCGUGGUACGCCGACCAGUUUCACAAUGAGAAGCUCGUCGUGGAGGUGCUUGAGGUGGGCUUCGGCGUCGGUGCUGAGGACUACGCAAUAUGGAUGGAGACCCACCGACUUAUCGGCAGCGAGGUGAUCGCCGAAUCCAUCAGGAAAGUGAUGAAGGAGGAGGGCGACGGCGACACGAUACGAAAGAAAGCUGAGGAGCUCCGCGACAAGGCGAGGGCCGCGGUGGAGAAGGGUGGGUCGUCCUACGACGAUGUUGGGCAGCUCAUGGAGGAAUUGAUCGCCCGCCGGUGCUGUAGACGUACGGCGGGUGAAUAA